ACGCUGGCGGCAGGCCUAACACAUGCAAGUCGAGCGGUAGAGAGAAGCUUGCUUCUCUUGAGAGCGGCGGACGGGUGAGUAAUGCCUAGGAAUCUGCCUGGUAGUGGGGGAUAACGUUCGGAAACGGACGCUAAUACCGCAUACGUCCUACGGGAGAAAGCAGGGGACCUUCGGGCCUUGCGCUAUCAGAUGAGCCUAGGUCGGAUUAGCUAGUUGGUGGGGUAAUGGCUCACCAAGGCGACGAUCCGUAACUGGUCUGAGAGGAUGAUCAGUCACACUGGAACUGAGACACGGUCCAGACUCCUACGGGAGGCAGCAGUGGGGAAUAUUGGACAAUGGGCGAAAGCCUGAUCCAGCCAUGCCGCGUGUGUGAAGAAGGUCUUCGGAUUGUAAAGCACUUUAAGUUGGGAGGAAGGGCAGUAAAUUAAUACUUUGCUGUUUUGACGUUACCGACAGAAUAAGCACCGGCUAACUCUGUGCCAGCAGCCGCGGUAAUACAGAGGGUGCAAGCGUUAAUCGGAAUUACUGGGCGUAAAGCGCGCGUAGGUGGUUCGUUAAGUUGGACGUGAAAUCCCCGGGCUCAACCUGGGAACUGCAUUCAAACUGACGAGCU
This 613-nucleotide ribosomal RNA is filed under the name uncultured bacterium. Its description in RNAcentral is "bacterial SSU rRNA". It matches the Rfam family "Bacterial small subunit ribosomal RNA", at positions 33 to 642 of the family's 1533-position model. The record is from RNAcentral.